CGGUCUAAGCCGAAAGAGGGCCAGGGCUGCUGCCUGGAAACAGACAGUUUAAAUGAUUAAUAAAAUAUGAAUGCAAUAUAAGUUCCCGUGUGUAUUUUUAGAUUAUCCCAGGACAUUUUCUACCUGUCUACUCAUUCCUAAACCCAACGCUGAUGCCCUUUCACCUGCCUCCUGCCCCUAUGCAUCUCUCUGCCGAGGCAUCAGCCUGACUCCCUACCUGUGACCUAGACGUCAGCCGCUGGAACUGCUCUCCACAGCAGCGGAUCUGGAUGAAGACAAAUGGAACCAUGGGGCUAUGGCCAGGUUCCAGACUGCUACUAGUUAGCACAUGCGCUGUGAUGGAAAUUCCAUCGAUCUACACUCUUAAAGGAGUAAGAAACAGAGACAAAAUGUUCUAGGCACAAUUAAGUUGUAUUAUUAUUUGUAAAUAAGAGACGCGUCAACCGCUUACAAAUAUAAUCGUCAGCGGAGUCUCUAACUCGAUACAGGUCAUUCAACAGUAUAUAAGGGAGGAAAAGGGGUGUGGUAAGAUGCUGCCCAUCCGUCUUGUCACAAGAGUUUACCCAAAAGGCGGGCUUUAAUAGUUUAAUGGCUGAUAUCUUGUGUAAAUAGACAGGUGAUCAAAAUGGUUGUUGCACUUGAAUAUGCUUUUGUGUACGUAAACAUACAUUUUAAUCGUUCCACUGAUGGUAUUUUGUACAUUUCCAGUUGAUCAAAAUCAUUAAUGCACAUUAAUAUGCUCUGUGUGUGUGAAUAUCUUUUUAAAAUUAUAAUUGUAGUUGA
Esox lucius (northern pike) is the source of this 783-nucleotide long non-coding RNA. RefSeq lists it as uncharacterized. Lineage: Eukaryota; Metazoa; Chordata; Actinopteri; Esociformes; Esocidae. The record is from RefSeq and is a predicted model, not a curated record. The transcript is spliced from 2 exons.